RNAcentral lists this ribosomal RNA (253 nucleotides) under uncultured bacterium. RNAcentral describes it as "partial 16S ribosomal RNA". It matches the Rfam family "Bacterial small subunit ribosomal RNA", at positions 524 to 776 of the family's 1533-position model. The record is from RNAcentral.
UACGGGGGGGGCAAGCGUUGUUCGGAAUUACUGGGCGUAAAGGGCUCGUAGGUGGCCAACUAAGUCGGACGUGAAAUCCCUGGGCUCAACCCAGGAACUGCACUCGAAACUUCCGGUCUAGAGUGGUGGAGAGGGAAGUGGAAUUCCUGGUGUAGAGGUGAAAUUCGUAGAUAUCAGGAGGAACACCAGUGGCGAAGGCGGCUUCCUGGACACCAACUGACGCUGAGACGCGAAAGCGUGGGGAGCAAACAGG